Molecule: ribosomal RNA, 207 nt
Filed under: uncultured bacterium
Lineage: Bacteria
Description: partial 16S ribosomal RNA
Rfam family: Bacterial small subunit ribosomal RNA
Source: RNAcentral
UGCGUAGGCGGGUCUUUAAGUCAGGGGUGAGAUCCUGGAGCUCAACUCCAGAACUGCCUUUGAUACUGAAGAUCUUGAGUUCGGGAGAGGUGAGUGGAACUGCGAGUGUAGAGGUGAAAUUCGUAGAUAUUCGCAAGAACACCAGUGGCGAAGGCGGCUCACUGGCCCGAUACUGACGCUGAGGCACGAAAGCGUGGGGAGCAAACA